ACCUACUUCAUUAUUAUACCAGCAAUCCAGCCUGAAGGACUUAGCUCAUAGAUGUCUUCUGAAAUGUGGAAGAAAUACUUUCGUUUGUCAUAAAACCUCAGCAGGAGAUUGGAGUCUGGAAGAGGGAGGGGAGAAGAGGAGGACCUCAGGGAGAUUGUUUUGCUUAUUGGUGUUUAAUUAAAAACCAAACAACUUUUCCUAUUAACUUGAUGCUACUUAUUAAUUGAAAUGAGGAGACUGACUCUGGAUAUUGGGAAAAUUUAUGUCUGGAAUAGCAAAUUGACCUCAAAAGAUAUAUUUUGAUCAGGAUGAAUUCCAAAGCUGAAAUUAGUUGUUCUCUGAGUUCAGAGUUUUAGAUUAAACAUCUCUCUCUUGAUAUAUAUAUCUAUGGGCACAUACAGAGGAAAAGACAUGUGGGGACAUAAUGAGAGGACAGCCAUCUGCAAGCCAAGAAGAGAAUCCUCACCAGAAACCAACUUGACUGGAAUCUUGAUCUUGAACUUCUUGCUUCCAGAAUUAUGAGAAAAUAAAUUGUUGUUUAACCCACACAGUCUAUUGUACUUAGUUGUAGCAGUCUGAGAAGACUAAUACAUUGAUAAACUGGUCAGUUACAACAAUGAAUAUAUUAUUUAUACAUUAUAUAAAUGAUUAUAGUUUCUGUAUUAGCUUAGAUUUUGCAAAUUUGUCAAUAGCUUUGUCCAAGUUGAUUUUCUUUAUAUAUUCCUAUUUCAUAGACUAUAUUAGCUAGAUUUGUCAAUCUAUCUUACUCAUAAUGACUGAAGAACACUUUUAAAUUCAAUUUAAAAGGUUUUUGUCACAUAAAGCAACAAAUAUAAAACUAGAAAAAAUAUAAAUAUGAAUAUAAAUUUGAAGGAAAUUAAUAAAAAUCGUAUUGUACCAUAUAUUCCAGAAAUUUUAAACACUGAUGAAAACUUCAAGUGGUACCAAGGAAUGAGAGAAUUGAAGUAAUUCAAGUGUUAUAUUUCAUCUUUUCUAUCACUAGGUUGUCAUCAAUUAUUUCAAAUCUGUUUUUUUUUUUAUUGUAAUUAAACUUCUAAGUUCAGGGA
Homo sapiens (human) is the source of this 1067-nucleotide long non-coding RNA. Ensembl annotates it as long intergenic non-protein coding RNA 2428. Lineage: Eukaryota; Metazoa; Chordata; Mammalia; Primates; Hominidae. The record is from Ensembl.